Molecule: long non-coding RNA, 2917 nt
Filed under: Homo sapiens (human)
Lineage: Eukaryota; Metazoa; Chordata; Mammalia; Primates; Hominidae
Description: HSALNT0055298
Source: RNAcentral
CUGGGAUUCAAGCUGUGGGCGGGAAGUGCUCUAUCAGGGACUCAAGCCUUGGGAGACUCCCUCUUUCCCCUUUACUUCUUUUUCACCCAAUAAAACCCUGCUCACCCUCUCCAUCGGUCUGUGAACCUAAAUUUUCGUGGCUGUGGGACGGACAAGUACCCUGUCUUUAACUGAACUAUGGAAAAGUCCUGCAAUAUUUUUGGCGCCCAACGUGGGGACUCGAGAAGGGAAGGGUGAGGAGGCCUCACAGAAGGGCUGAGAUUUGGGAUGAAUACCUUCAUCAAGAAAAGGAGGAGCCAGUAGAAGAAACUGCAUUGGUAAAGCCAGAGAUUCAGGAAGAAGGUGGAUGGUGUGGCAUAUUCUGGAACAGGGCUCUGUAUUGGCAAGGAGGGGUGGCAGAUGAGGUUGGAGCCUAAGUUGUCCUGACUUGAAAGACUUGAACCUCUCAGCAGUUUGAAUUUCGUUCUAAAGCUAUCAAAAGAACCUAUUCAAGAGCAUGAUACGGUAAAUCAUCUUCAGCAACUCACAUAUCAUUUUUAACAUUGUUUCAGGGGAUAUUAGUGGACACUCUUAGGAACGCAGUGUAUAGCCCACAAGUAUAAUGACACUUAUUAAUACAACUUAGAAAACACCCUUUGAAAAUGCAUCAAAACCCUAAAAGAUUCGAUUAACUCUAUGGAAAUGAGGAUAAAGGGUAGAUGCAUGUAAGAAUCCAGCUGUCUUCUAUCUACAAAGCUCUUCAUAUCCACAACCACAGAGACACUGCUCAGCUUCUGAAUCGCCUUAGUUCACAAUAAAAUAGAAAUAAAUCAUAAUAAAAUAAAAUAGGGAAUAAAUCUAUCUGUUGGCUUUGAGAAAAUUUCUCAGUAGCAACAAACCAACUGCUCAAAUCAGAAUCCCCCAAAAUAAAUAAAUAAGGUACCUAAGAGGGAAUGCAUGUGUUGACCAAAAAACUAAAAAAUUCUCCCAUUUCUGUCUGACGUUGAAAAAAAUCAUAGGUAUUUGGCAUUUUAGCCUAUGCUGUUGAAUGUGGUAGCCACUAAUUAUAUGUGGCUAUUUAAAUUUAAAUAAGGUAAAAUUAAAUAAAAUUUAUUUUCUCAGUCCCAUUAGCCCCAUUUCAAGUCCUCAACAGCCAUAUGAGGCCACUGGCCACUGUACUGGUCAGCACAUGUAUCAGACAUGUCCAUUGUUGCAGGAAUAUCUGUUGGGAAAAAAAUGAACUACUUAUUUAGAUAAAAGUAGUGAUUUGUUAGACAUGCCUAAUAAAAUUCAGUUUAUUUUAAGAUUAUGUAAUUAAAUUCAGACUUACUUAUAAGAGUCUGAAUUUUCAUUUUAAUCGUUUGUAUGUAUUUCAUUCCUCUUAGUAUGAAGAGAGUCUAUAUCAAGAGACUCUCUAUGGAGACAGGAGCCAGUUUGUAUUAGGCCCCAGCUCUGUCUUGGGCUCUGUGCUAGGCAUUUCAUAUCUGUUAUGCUACUUAAGGCUCAUGACUCCCUGUGAGAUAGGCAUGCUUAUUCUCAUUUUUCCCUAAAUGGGGGGCUGUGACAAGGCUGAAGCAAAGAGAGGGCACAACAUCUUUUCAGGGUUAACACUUGAGAAACAUCUAUUUCUUCUUAAGUAGCUCUACUGCUGCUUAGAGAAGUAGAGUAUGUAGACAAGACAGUUAAAUUUUCCACAGAUGGGGUUUACUUAGAGGGAGAUAAGAUUUCUUUUGCACACAAUUGUAGAUUUUUUUUUAAAUGGUCAAAAUCCUCCUGUUCUAGCAGUAGCUAAGAAGUGACUCGGGGAAGCAUUCAACAAGUAGGAAAGAAGUCUGCUCAGAUGGAGGCCCUGAAUCAGAGAUGCCUGUCAUCUGUUCCCAAAGGCUCCAAACUCCUGCCACAAAUACACUGAGGGUUCCUCUCUCUAUAACUUCUUCUCUUUAUUUUCUCUGGAAGGAAUGUACUUGAUACUUAUUUUUAAUCUGAGUCUCCUUCCACAAAAAGUGUAGAGGAUGUGCUACCCAGCCCCUAAAGUUUUGCCUCUUGGUAUUCACACUUGUGAAGUCAUUUUCCAUGUGGAAGAGGGCUGACCUGUGUAAGCAAUAAGAUGCUGCAGAAAUGUAUGACUUCUGUGGCUAGGUUAGAAGAGCCAUGAGUCCUUAAAGCUUUCCCCCUUUUCUCUCUCUUGAGUGGCUGUCUCUGGAGGAAGCCAGUCACCAUUCUAUGAAGUUACUCAAGCAGCCAGUGGAGAGGCCCACAUGGGGAGGAACUGAGGCCUCCCACCAAUACUCUCCAUCAAGCUGCCAGGCAUGUGGUACCUUAGAAGUGGAUCUUACAGCCCCAGUCAAGCCUUCAGAUGACUAUAGAGCCAGAACCACUCUACUAAGCCUGUCCCAAAUUCCUAACUCACCAAAAUAACAUGAGAUAGUAAAUGUUUACUGCAGUUUUAAGCAGUUGAGUUUUGGCAUAAUUUGUUAUGCAGCAAUAGGUACCUAACCCAGAGGGUUUUUCCAGCUUUGCCUAUGGGCAAGUCUACAGAUGAAACAAGCUGCUUUUCAUAUUUAGUGCUCUCUCUCACAAUUAUCAGGAGAUAUAAUUAUCUUACCAUCCAGGCUGUGAUUCUUGCACACAAGCACCAAGUCAUCCAUUAUUGCAGUCUCCCUUCCCAUGCUUGAUGAAUAACUGGGUUCCUGUGAUUUUUCCUCUUUUCUUUCCCCAUUGACUGUUGAAAUUGUUUGCCUCAACUAUUGAGUCCCUUCUCUUCAGUUUGCCUCCUUUUCUUUUCCUCCUACAUGAGCAGAAGCCAGGAAAUUGAAUGUAUUCGAUCACAAAGUAUGCAUGACCCUCAGCAACAUGAGCCUACAAUAGUCUUUUUAAUGACCAGAGGAAGGUUGUGAGGACUCUUAGUUAAUUUGUUAUGAACACCCACUCCCAUAAG